Molecule: ribosomal RNA, 253 nt
Filed under: uncultured bacterium
Lineage: Bacteria
Description: partial 16S ribosomal RNA
Rfam family: Bacterial small subunit ribosomal RNA
Source: RNAcentral
UACGGAGGGUGCAAGCGUUAUCCGGAUUCACUGGGUUUAAAGGGUGCGUAGGUGGGCAGUUAAGUCAGUGGUGAAAUCUCCGGGCUCAACCCGGAAACUGCCAUUGAUACUAUCUGUCUUGAAUAUCGUGGAGGUAAGCGGAAUAUGUCAUGUAGCGGUGAAAUGCUUAGAUAUGACAUAGAACACCAAUUGCGAAGGCAGCUUACUACCCGAAUAUUGACACUGAGGCACGAAAGCGUGGGGAUCGAACAGG